Molecule: long non-coding RNA, 209 nt
Organism: Erigeron canadensis
Lineage: Eukaryota; Viridiplantae; Streptophyta; Magnoliopsida; Asterales; Asteraceae
Exons: 3
Source: RefSeq, a predicted model, not a curated record
UUUUGAUUCUUGAUCAUCAAAAGCUUGUUACAGCCAAUAAACAACUCUUGGGCAACCAUCAAGAACAAGACCCAACAACACUCUUGAUCUUCUUGCUUUGAUCUUUAAAGGGAUAGUCAUGGCUUGAAAUGUGAUUGGAGAACAUGACGGAUACAUGAUCAAUGAAGCAAUAGAUGGGAGGUACCCAUUUUGGAUAUGUGGAUAUAAUG